CCUACGGGUGGCUGCAGUGGGGAAUAUUGCGCAAUGGGCGAAAGCCUGACGCAGCGACGCCGCGUGAGGGAUGAAGGUCUUCGGAUCGUAAACCUCUGUCAGCAGGGAAGAACGGUCACUGUGCUAAUCAGCAGUGAAUUGACGGUACCUGCAAAGGAAGCACCGGCUAACUCCGUGCCAGCAGCCGCGGUAAUACGGAGGGUGCGAGCGUUAAUCGGAAUUACUGGGCGUAAAGCGCUCGUAGGCGGUAUGUCAAGUCAAGGGUGAAAUCCCCGCGCUCAACGUGGGAACUGACUUUGAAACUGGCAAACUGGAGUGUGGGAGAGGAUAGUGGAAUUCCAGGUGUAGGAGUGAAAUGCGUAGAUAUCUGGAGGAACAUCAGUGGCGAAGGCGACUAUCUGGCACAAAACUGACGCUGAGGAGCGAAAGCGUGGGUAGCAAACAGGAUUAGAUACCCUAGUAGUC
Molecule: ribosomal RNA, 465 nt
Filed under: uncultured bacterium
Lineage: Bacteria
Description: partial 16S ribosomal RNA
Rfam family: Bacterial small subunit ribosomal RNA
Source: RNAcentral